RNAcentral lists this unclassified non-coding RNA (249 nucleotides) under uncultured fungus. Its description in RNAcentral is "partial contains 5.8S ribosomal RNA, internal transcribed spacer 2, and large subunit ribosomal RNA". Lineage: Eukaryota; Fungi. The record is from RNAcentral.
AACGCACAUUGCGCCCCUCGGUAUUCCGUGGGGCAUGCCUGUUCGAGCGUCAUUAACACCACUCAAGCUCUGCUUGGUCCUGGGGCGUGCUGCCUGCGGCACCCCCUAAAUCCAGUGGCGACGGCCUCGGGUCUCGAGCGUAGUACUUUCUUCGCUGCGAGUCCGGCGGUGGUCUGUCAGGUAGCGACCUGCUACACCCCAUAUACUAUGGUUGACCUCGGAUCAGGUAGGGAUACCCGCUGAACUUAA